Non-coding RNA from Parelaphostrongylus tenuis, 79 nucleotides. The record is from the annotation of a GenBank genome assembly. NCBI's taxonomy places the organism in Eukaryota, Metazoa, Nematoda, Chromadorea, Rhabditida, Metastrongylidae.
GGAACGGUGGUGUAGUGGUGGCACGCGUCCUCGGUAUGGAUGAAACGCGGGUUCGACUCCCGCCUGAGGUUAUAUUACA